UACAGAGGGGGCAAGCGUUGUUCGGAAUUACUGGGCGUAAAGGGCGCGUAGGCGGCCUGCUAAGUCGAACGUGAAAGCCCCGGGCUCAACCUGGGAAUGGCGAUGGAGACUGCAAGGCUUGAAUCUGGCAGAGGGGGGUAGAAUUCCACGUGUAGCAGUGAAAUGCGUAGAGAUGUGGAGGAACACCGAUGGCGAAGGCAGCCCCCUGGGUCAAGAUUGACGCUCAUGCACGAAAGCGUGGGGAGCAAACAGG
Molecule: ribosomal RNA, 253 nt
Filed under: uncultured bacterium
Lineage: Bacteria
Description: partial 16S ribosomal RNA
Rfam family: Bacterial small subunit ribosomal RNA
Source: RNAcentral